AGCUCCAAUAGCGUAUAUUAAAGUUGUUGCAGUUAGAACGCUCGUAGUCGGAUUUCGGGGCGGGCCGACCGGUCUGCCGAUGGGUACGCACUGGUCGGCGCGUCCUUCCUUCCGGAGACCGUUCCUACUCUUAACUGAGCGGGGUCGGGAGACGGAUCGUUUACUUUGAAAAAAUCAGAGUGUUUCAAGCAGGCAACUCGCUCUUGCAUGGAUUAGCAUGGGAUAAUGAAAUAGGACUUUGGUGCUAUUUUGUUGGUUUCGAACACCGAAGUAAUGAUUAAUAGGGACAGUCAGGGGCACUCGUAUUCCGCCGAGAGAGGUGAAAUUCUCAGACCAGCGGAAGACGAACCACUGCGAAAGCAUUUGCCAGGGAUGUUUUCACUGAUCAAGAACGAAAGUA
Molecule: ribosomal RNA, 400 nt
Filed under: phytoplankton environmental sample
Lineage: Eukaryota
Description: partial small subunit ribosomal RNA
Rfam family: Eukaryotic small subunit ribosomal RNA
Source: RNAcentral